Pseudopipra pipra is the source of this 740-nucleotide long non-coding RNA. RefSeq lists it as uncharacterized. The record is from RefSeq and is a predicted model, not a curated record. The transcript is spliced from 4 exons. NCBI's taxonomy places the organism in Eukaryota, Metazoa, Chordata, Aves, Passeriformes, Pipridae.
GCCGGUUCUCACCCAUGGGGGGGCUGAGAGCCCUUAAUGAGCUCGUUAAGAGUCAUUCCCUUUCCCAGGUGCCCCCCAUCCCGAGAGCAGUGGAGUGAUGGUCCCUGAGGGAGAGGAGAAGCUGAGGAAGAGCAGAGCUUCGGUGGGGAGAAGCUGCACAUUCCAAGGGGACCCGUGGCAGAAGGUGCACCCAGGAACCCAGAAAAUGCCAGUGGCUGUUUCUUGCUCUGUGGAAGGAAGCUAAAGGAGUUAAUUGAAUUAAAUCCUCAAUCUGGGUAGCCAGGAGUAAGGCAGACUGAAAACUGAAGCCUGAACUCUGUUUGAGCUUGAAGAGAGACACUAAGAACGUCUUGGAGAGCAAAUCUACUGCUUGGAGACCAGCGGGGCUGGUGAAAGAUUUCUGCCAUGGAAGGAGACCAUUUCUUGAUCCUGAACCAGAAAGUCCCUUGGAAAAAGAUGGACCCUCCUUUGGAAAAACAGGAUAACUCUGAGAGAAUCUGAAUGAUUUAGGUUGGCAAAGACCUUUAAGAUCAUCCAGUCCAACCUUUACCACUGCCAAGGCCACCACCAACAUUCAGGUACAUUGACUUUCUUCAACUGGGAAUGGGGAAACCCCACAAGAAGUGACACCAACAGCAUCCAAGAAAUAACUGUGCUAAUGGACUUUCUGGUCUAGAACAACCCAUUAACUCUUAAAAAGUAUUGCUCUGUGUCAGGAAACAGCAAGGAUAGUAAAAAUG